GAGAAAUUCAGUGUGCUCAGAUCUAGCCUAAAUGCAUCUGGUUCUUAUAGUACAAUUUUGUUGUGAGUGAGUUCAUACUUCCAGUUUUAUAAAGAGUCUUACUGUAUAUACUUAUGUACAUUGGUUACUUCUACGUUUUACAGAUUGAAGACAGUUACAAAUCUCUGUCUGUCUACAUUAAAAAUUCUGUAAAAAUCACAGAUUUCAGGCCUGGUAGCAUUAUAGCAGACUAUCAAAUCAGUGUAACAACCAACAUCCACAGUAGCACAAAUGGCGGCAACAGCAACGAUUUUGCAUCAGCAAAUUUACAGGUUUCAAGAACUCUCCUGAAUGCGGGAAUCCCUGUAGCUCUGAAGGCUUUUUCUGAAAGUGAAAAUACUAUCCUGUCCACCGCAAAAAAAUGGUAUCCUUUUCAAAAGAUGGAGCUGAGAUGUAAAUACCCAGAGUCUGUUAAUGGUACAAUGAGAUGGACAGUGAAUGACCAAGAUCCUACAGACACUGUUAGAUACUCCAUUUCACCUGACCAUAGUAUUUUCAUUGUAAACAACGCAACAGAGAAAGACACUGAUCAGGAUGGCUAAGUAAGCUCUGGGUCCAGCACUACUCAAGGGACGCUUUGGGAAGGGGAAGCGUUUCGAUGUCCAGGGGUGCUGCUGCAGCCCAGGCUUGGAUUUCCACUGAGGCUGCGCCGGCUUUUUUUAGACUGAGUGGCGGGGGUCUUCUGGUGGUCCGCAGCCACAGGUCCAGAGCGCUUGGGGAGGAAGUGACGUAGCACCUGCGACAUCUUUUGAGCCUCUGAAAAUCGUUCCUCAAACCCACCCACAACAGGGUCGAAAGGCCAUUUGACGAGACCAGUGAGUCAAGGAAAGCCAUCUUCUCCGCAUCCUUGAUCUCAGUGAUGUUCAGCCAGAGGUGGCGCUCCAACACCACCAAGCUGGCCAUGGUUUUUCCGAUUGCGUGCACCGUUGCUUUCAUAACAUGCAAAGCCAGAUUCCUUGCUGUGCGCAGCUCCUUGAAAGCCUCCUGGUGUUGCUGGCCAGACUCGUCCAUACUACGGAGAAGUUUAGCUUGAAACACUUGGAGUACUGCAAUUGAAUGCAGCGCUGAUCCGGCCUGACCGGCCCUUGCAUAUGCCCUGUUCGUCAAAGCCGAGGUGGUCCUGCAGCAGAGUAUGUGAGCAGAGUGGAGCGGGAACUAUUUCCCCUCCGCGCUCAGAGCAUUUAAUUAUCACUCUGCUCCAGCUCCACCCUGGGUUCACAAUUUCCGUUUCCCGCUCCACGCCACGCUCACUGAUACCAGAAACACCGCUCCACCUUCGCUCCGUGGCUAAACUAUUUCAGUAUGUUUGAAAUGUUAUGUUCAUAACAUAACCUAUAUUAAAAUAAAAAAUAAAAUAACCCGCUGAGAAGGACCCGC
Molecule: long non-coding RNA, 1416 nt
Organism: Cyprinus carpio (common carp)
Lineage: Eukaryota; Metazoa; Chordata; Actinopteri; Cypriniformes; Cyprinidae
Source: Ensembl